GACGAACGCUGGCGGCGUGCUUAACACAUGCAAGUCGAACGGAAAGGCCCUGCUUGCAGGGUGCUCGAGUGGCGAACGGGUGAGUAACACGUGGGUGAUCUGCCCCUUAUUUUGGGAUAAGCCUGGGAAACUGGGUCUAAUACUGGAUAGGACCAUGCUGUAGGUGGUGUGGUGGAAAGAUUAGUUUCGGUAAGGGAUGAGCUCGCGGCCUAUCAGCUUGUUGGUGGGGUAAUGGCCUACCAAGGCGUCGACGGGUAGCCGGCCUGAGAGGGUGGACGGCCACAUUGGGACUGAGAGACGGCCCAGACUCCUACGGGAGGCAGCAGUGGGGAAUAUUGCACAAUGGGCGCAAGCCUGAUGCAGCGACGCCGCGUGGGGGAUGACGGCCUUCGGGUUGUAAACUCCUUUCAGCCAUGACGAAGCCCUUGUGGUGACGGUAGUGGUAGAAGAAGCACCGGCUAACUACGUG
Molecule: ribosomal RNA, 469 nt
Filed under: uncultured bacterium
Lineage: Bacteria
Description: partial 16S ribosomal RNA
Rfam family: Bacterial small subunit ribosomal RNA
Source: RNAcentral